This is a small nuclear RNA of Meriones unguiculatus (Mongolian gerbil), 107 nucleotides long. Lineage: Eukaryota; Metazoa; Chordata; Mammalia; Rodentia; Muridae. The record is from Ensembl.
GUGCUUGUUUCAGAAGCACAUAUACUAAAAUUGGAACAAUACAUAGAAGAUUAGCAUGGCCCCUGCAAAAGGAUUACCUGCAAAUUUGUGAAGCAUUCCCUUUUUGU